RNAcentral lists this unclassified non-coding RNA (387 nucleotides) under soil metagenome. Its description in RNAcentral is "partial contains 5.8S ribosomal RNA, internal transcribed spacer 2, and large subunit ribosomal RNA". The stretch from base 1 to 120 matches the Rfam family "5.8S ribosomal RNA", at positions 35 to 154 of the family's 154-position model. The record is from RNAcentral.
GAUGAAGAACGCAGCGAAUUGCGAUAAGUAAUGUGAAUUGCAGAAUUCAGUGAAUCAUCGAAUCUUUGAACGCACCUUGCGCUCCUUGGUAUUCCGAGGAGCAUGCCUGUUUGAGUGUCAUGAAAUUCUCAACCUUUUCAGCUUUCUUUGUUGAUCAGGCUUGGAUGUGGGAGUAUGCGGGCUUCUCAGAAGUCGGCUCUCCUGAAAUGCAUUAGCGGGACCUUUGUUGCCUGGCUUUGGUGUGAUAAUUAUCUACGCCAUUGUAGUCAAGCAGCUUAAAAUGAGGUUUCAGCUUCUAACCGUCUCCCCUGAGACAACUUUUUGACAAUUUGACCUCAAAUCAGGUAGGACUACCCGCUGAACUUAAGCAUAUCAAUAAGCGGAGAA